Antechinus flavipes (yellow-footed antechinus) is the source of this 2743-nucleotide long non-coding RNA. RefSeq lists it as uncharacterized. The record is from RefSeq and is a predicted model, not a curated record. NCBI's taxonomy places the organism in Eukaryota, Metazoa, Chordata, Mammalia, Dasyuromorphia, Dasyuridae. The transcript has 4 exons.
UCCUGCUGUGCGUGGGGAACAGUCCAGUAGCUCUGGCCACAGCUCCCUAGCUACUCCUAGCAAACUGAGCCAGUUUAAUUCUCACUUUAAUGAGCUAGCCAAUUAAUUUCCUCUCCUCUUCACUCGCGCGGAGCCAGAGCAGCACGAUGAAAUGCCGGGGCUGCCCAGUAAAAAGAGCAGCCCUCUCCGCCACCCUUCCCGCACCCCUCCAUACCCCUUAAAAUAGACAGCCACCAAGGGACGAAGAGAUUCCGUAGGUUCCCGGUGCCACACUUGGCCAAGACGAGCGCAGGCUUCCCUGCAGCCCUGCCUCAGGGACUACUCCAAGGCGGGGACGAUGGGUGCAGAGAGGCAGAAGCAGAGACCCCCGCAAGAUAGAGUCCCGGCGGGUUCCAGGGUCAAGAAUCCCUAAGCCUUACAGGACUUCCUGGUCAGCGCCCCGUUUGCUUUGCGCACCUCAAGAUAACCUCCCCCGGCGCCCAGGGCCUGCCUAGACGCUCCACCCCCGCCGCCCCACGUGACCCACCGCCACAGCCACAGCCUCCGGGCGGAUCCUCGCUGGCCUCCGCGGCAGAGGGCUAAUUCCAGCGCUUCCCCUUCCAGGCAGAUCCGGGGUGCGGAGGUGGUCACGGCUUCUGCCUAACUGAGCUCUCCAAACAAGAGUCUCUUAGAAAAUCACAGAACAUGCCCAGGAGAAAAGAAAGAUCUGGUAGUGUUGGAGGAAGUCUUAUUUCUGGAGCUUUGGCAAAAGAAUAAAGGGAUUAAUUAAGAUGCGCCUAUUUAACUUUCUUCUUAGAAUUCCCACCACUGCUUUGUGUGCUGAUGGAUUCUGAAUAAACGCAUUCAAUGAAGAUUGCUUCUCGACUGAUUGAUCAUGUCUGAAUACUGAACUUCUAAAGACUCUCUGGAUUUAACAUCAGCUGCAUCAUGCUCCAAGUGUUUUUUUCUUGGGGCCUUGGAACUGAGCUCCAAUCCCUUUCUCCCAUCAGAUUGCUUCUUGGCUGAUUGAUCAUGUUGGAGUAUUGAACUUCUAAAGACUCUGGGUGUAACAUCGACUGCCAUCAAGGUUUUGCAAGAGUAAAUGUUAAAAGUAUCUUUACAUAUAUUUUUAAAAUAAAAAGCUAUUAUUAAAAUAAAUAAAUAAAUUUUAAAAAGAAGUUACAUGACUUGCUCAGGAUCAUACAGUUAAUAAGUAGCUGAGCCUGGAUUUGAAUUCAGUUUUCCUGAGUCUAGGUAUCCACUGUACCAAGUCUAUCAUACGACUCCAUAAAAGUAUUGAAUGAGCAAUACCAGAGUGUCAAUCAAAGGCAAUACCUUAUUUCUGUUGGUAUGUCCCAUGACCCACUCAAAGCAAUGAAGUCAUAGAACAGUUAUGAUUUUGUAUCUCAUCUUUCCCUGCCAAUGCUAAUAUUUUUUGUUAUUAUUAUUGAGUUAUUUCGUCAUAUUCUACUCUUUGUGACUUCCGGGACCAUGGAGUAUCCCACCCUUUUAUUUUUCACUAUCUCCCAAAGUUUAAGUUUGUGCUUAUUGUUUCUAUGGCACUCAUCCUCUACUAUCCCCUUCCCUUCUCUUCAAUUUUUCCCAAUAUCAGGAUCUUUUCCCAUGAGUCUCAGCUUAUGUGGCCAAGCAUUUAAGCUUCAGCUUCAGUAUUUGACCUUUCAAUAAAUGUUCUGAAUUAAUUACUUUAAAUAUUGACUAAAUUGAUUUCCUUGCUAUCCAAGAGACUCUCAAAAGUCUUCUCCAGCACCAUAAUUUGAAAGUGUUAAUUCUGCAGCACUGAGCUUUGCUUUUCACAGAUUUUUCAACAGUUGCUACUGGAAAAACAAUAGUUAUGACUAUGGUUUGACAAAGAUUCAUACCUUUCUUUUCAACAUGAUGUUUCUGGUUUUAAGUAUGCUGUCCAGAUUUGCUAUAACUUUCUUUCCAAAGAGCAAGAGUCUUUUAAUUAACUGCAUGACUGCAAGUUGUCAUCUGUAAUGAUCUUUGAGCCUAAGAAUAUAAAAUCUGACACUGCUUCCAUUUCUUCUUCUAUUUGCCAAGAAGUAAUGGGGCUAGUUGCUAUGAUUUUAGAAUUUUUUUUUAAGUUAAGCUUCAAGCCAGCUUUUGCACUUUCCUCUUUCAUACUCAUCAAAAGACUUCUUAAUUUUUUUUCACUUUCUGCCAUCAAUUGCAUAUCUGAGAUUGUUGAUAUUUUUCCUGGCAGCUUGACAUGUUGAAUUAUAUACUCUGUAUAUAAGUUAUAUAAAUAAGGUGACAAUAUACAGCUUUGUUACUCUCAUGUAAAUGGAGGUAGUGGGGAUAUGAGAUAAGAAAGAACACAACACAAAGAAAUAAAACAAAAGUGUUUAAACCUGCUCCAUGACUCAGAUAUAUGAAUGAAGUUGCCAAUAGUAUGUUAAGUAUUCUUUCCAUCAUCCAUAUCAAAGAUAAGUUUUAUUUAUUUAUAUUUGCAUGCAAUAUUUCUGAAAUACUGUAGGCAUUUUCCAUCCUUGUACUUACAGGCUGUGAUGCCAAGGACAGAACUGAAAACAUGGAAAAGCUGUUACAGAUUUCUUUUAAAGGAAGCUCAGAGGAACCCUGAAGCAGCUGGGGAGUCCAAAGCUCAAAGCUGAUUUUCUGGGGAUUUUUUUUGCUUUUACAGACUCAGAUUUUUUUUCUUCUGUGAAAUGAGUAGGUUGGAAUACAUGAUCUCUGAGGGCUCUUUUAGCCCUAACAUGACUAUUUUUGUAAAUUAAAAAUAAAA